UGGGUCGCCAUCUUGGUUCCUUGGAUGAAAUACUGUAGUCGAUCGUCCACAGGUUAAUUUGAAGACACUGACCUGGAGUUACUUGCUGACUUCGGUUCUUUGCAGGAAUGGGAUCCGCUCUCUGGGCCUCACGACCGGCUGCUUUUUGAUAUGCCAAGGACGCAGCCUGGAAGACUAGUGUGUCUUCAGGGUCCCGGAUUUUCGUGGCUCUGGAGGUGGCUGGAUUCGAGUUUGUGCUGCUUCAGAAAACUGGUGUGUCAUGGGAGUACACGGAAGAUCGAAAGCAGCAAGCUGACUGCUGGCUGUGUGCCUAGAGACCCGAGAUCUUUGAGCACAGAGCUCGGAAAAAGUGACGCAACAGACUUUUAACACCAUAAAUGGAAAUCAAUUAAAAAAACUUGGAAAAGAAAAGAAAAGAAAAACCCAGUCUCCAUAAAAGAGGGUACUACCUAGCAGAGCAGUCAUUAUAGGAACGAUCAUUGGCAAAGUGGUCUGAGUCAGACUGGUAAGGCUUUCGCUCAACAGGGCUUCAGCGAGAACAGGUGGA
Mobula hypostoma (lesser devil ray) is the source of this 547-nucleotide long non-coding RNA. RefSeq lists it as uncharacterized. NCBI's taxonomy places the organism in Eukaryota, Metazoa, Chordata, Chondrichthyes, Myliobatiformes, Myliobatidae. The transcript is spliced from 3 exons. The record is from RefSeq and is a predicted model, not a curated record.